RNAcentral lists this long non-coding RNA (232 nucleotides) under Lathyrus oleraceus (garden pea). Its description in RNAcentral is "Pisum sativum (pea) long non-coding RNA (PSAT_LNC023960)". Lineage: Eukaryota; Viridiplantae; Streptophyta; Magnoliopsida; Fabales; Fabaceae. The record is from RNAcentral.
UUUUUGUCUUUUGGGACUUAAGUGAGCGUGACCAAUUGAUAUCAGGUUCACAUAUUUUUUUUGUUUUAUUUUAAAUGUCACGCUGAUUAAAUCGGAUUUAAGUGGAAUUGGAUCAUGGACCUUGCGUGUUUUCUCUCUCCACGUCCCAGUUUUUUGGGCCCAUUGCGUGUUUAACUAUUUUCCAGUUGAUGUUCACUUUACUGAUGCACCCCCUUUGCCAUUUAGGUCCAAU